RNAcentral lists this ribosomal RNA (900 nucleotides) under Capronia sp. A WUC-2011. RNAcentral describes it as "LSU rRNA". It matches the Rfam family "Eukaryotic large subunit ribosomal RNA", at positions 44 to 957 of the family's 3401-position model. The record is from RNAcentral. Lineage: Eukaryota; Fungi; Ascomycota; Eurotiomycetes; Chaetothyriales; Herpotrichiellaceae.
CAAUAAGCGGAGGAAAAGAAACCAACAGGGAUUGCCUCAGUAACGGCGAGUGAAGCGGCAACAGCUCAAAUUUGAAAUCUGGCUUCCUUUGGGAGUCCGAGUUGUAAUUUGCAGAGGAUGUUUCGGGUACCGCUCCGGUUUAAAUUUCUUGGAACAGAAUGUCAGAGAGGGUGAGAAUCCCGUCUUGGACCGGCGGUAGGGCCCAUGUGAAACUCCCUCGACGAGUCGAGUUGUUUGGGAAUGCAGCUCAAAAUGGGUGGUAAAUUUCAUCUAAAGCUAAAUAUUGGCCAGAGACCGAUAGCGCACAAGUAGAGUGAUCGAAAGAUGAAAAGCACUUUGAAAAGAGAGUUAAACAGUAUGUGAAAUUGUUGAAAGGGAAGCGCUUGCGACCAGACUUGUACGCGGCGGUUCCCCCGUCCUUUUGGGCGGGCUAUUCCGUCGUGUUCAGGCCAACAUCGGUUCUGGGGGUUGGUUAAAGGCUUAGGGAAUGUAUCUACCCUUUGGGCGUAGACUUAUAGCCCUAGGUGUCAUACAACCUCCCGGGACCGAGGAACGCGCUUCGGCUCGGAUGUUGGCGUAAUGGUCGUAAGCGACCCGUCUUGAAACACGGACCAAGGAGUCUAACAUUUAUGCGAGUGUUUGGGUGUCAAACCCGGAACGCGGAAUGAAAGUGAACGGAGGUAGGAAGCUUUUAGCUGCACUAUCGACCGAUCCUGAUGUCUUCGGAUGGAUUUGAGUAAGAGCAUAACUGUUGGGACCCGAAAGAUGGUGAACUAUGCCUGAAUAGGGUGAAGCCAGAGGAAACUCUGGUGGAGGCUCGCAGCGGUUCUGACGUGCAAAUCGAUCGUCAAAUUUAGGUAUAGGGGCGAAAGACUAAUCGAACCAUCUGGUAGCUGGUUC